RNAcentral lists this ribosomal RNA (692 nucleotides) under uncultured Vibrio sp. Its description in RNAcentral is "bacterial SSU rRNA". It matches the Rfam family "Bacterial small subunit ribosomal RNA", at positions 94 to 783 of the family's 1533-position model. Lineage: Bacteria; Pseudomonadati; Pseudomonadota; Gammaproteobacteria; Vibrionales; Vibrionaceae. The record is from RNAcentral.
AGCGGCGGACGGGUGAGUAAAGCCUAGGAAAUUGCCCUGAUGUGGGGGAUAACCAUUGGAAACGAUGGCUAAUACCGCAUGAUGCCUAUGGGCCAAAGAGGGGGACCUUCGGGCCUCUCGCGUCAGGAUAUGCCUAGGUGGGAUUAGCUAGUUGGUGAGGUAAGGGCUCACCAAGGCGACGAUCCCUAGCUGGUCUGAGAGGAUGAUCAGCCACACUGGAACUGAGACACGGUCCAGACUCCUACGGGAGGCAGCAGUGGGGAAUAUUGCACAAUGGGCGCAAGCCUGAUGCAGCCAUGCCGCGUGUAUGAAGAAGGCCUUCGGGUUGUAAAGUACUUUCAGUCGUGAGGAAGGCGGCGUCGUUAAUAGCGGCGUUGUUUGACGUUAGCGACAGAAGAAGCACCGGCUAACUCCGUGCCAGCAGCCGCGGUAAUACGGAGGGUGCGAGCGUUAAUCGGAAUUACUGGGCGUAAAGCGCAUGCAGGUGGUUUGUUAAGUCAGAUGUGAAAGCCCGGGGCUCAACCUCGGAAUAGCAUUUGAAACUGGCAGACUAGAGUACUGUAGAGGGGGGUAGAAUUUCAGGUGUAGCGGUGAAAUGCGUAGAGAUCUGAAGGAAUACCGGUGGCGAAGCGGCCCCCUGGACAGAUACUGACACUCAGAUGCGAAAGCGUGGGGAGCAAACAGGAUUAGAU